CCCCAUAGAAACCCAUAGGGACACACUGGGAGCCAUAGGGACACGUGGAGACUAUAGGGACCCCAUAGAGACCCAUAGGGACCCCAAAGGGACCGCAUUUGGAGCCAUAGGGACCCCAUAGAGACCCCAUAGGGACCCACAGAGACCCCAUAGGGACCCAUAGAGACCCCAUAGAGUGACCCCGGGAGACCCAUAGGGCCCCAUAAUGACCCACACUGCCCCAUAGAGACCCCCUAAAGCUGAAUGGGACCUCAUCGGGACCCCCAAAUGUCAACGGGAGCCCCCAAAAUCCCAAUAAAAAACCCCAAAAAGUCCUUGGGAGGAUUUGAUGUC
This 333-nucleotide long non-coding RNA is filed under the name Gallus gallus (chicken). Lineage: Eukaryota; Metazoa; Chordata; Aves; Galliformes; Phasianidae. The record is from RNAcentral.